Jaculus jaculus (lesser Egyptian jerboa) is the source of this 70-nucleotide small nucleolar RNA. RefSeq annotates it as small nucleolar RNA SNORD27. The transcript has a single exon. Lineage: Eukaryota; Metazoa; Chordata; Mammalia; Rodentia; Dipodidae. The record is from RefSeq and is a predicted model, not a curated record.
ACUGUAUGAUGAAUAUACGAUGACAAGCAUAUGGCUGAAUGGUAGUGAUGUCGUUUUACUGCUGACAAGU